CAAGAGGGCUAAGCUAAACAAACUAAACAACUAGCAAGGUAUGCAAGUAUGUAAAGGAGUGGAGAGUGAUUGUUAUACCGAUAUUGUAGAGUAGAUAUAUAACCAAUCAAUCAAUCACAAAUACAAGAGAAUCCUCGGCAAAAGAAGACGUUGUGGCGAUACACCCACUUGAUGGAUCACGAGCCAAUUUGCAAUCCAAAGCCAAACCCUCAAUGGGCGCCGCACAUCCACUCACGAGAUGGGGAUCCACCAAGCCACGAGCAAUCCACUAGAGUAGCCAAUUUGCGAUCUCCGGUAGGGAAGGCUCAAGAACCCCUCAACAAUCACUUGGUGAGGCUCGAAACAAUCUCCAAUCACGAGCUCAACACCACUGCUGCUCCAAACCGUC
This 388-nucleotide long non-coding RNA is filed under the name Sorghum bicolor (sorghum). RNAcentral describes it as "long non-coding RNA (SBIC_LNC001017)". The record is from RNAcentral. Lineage: Eukaryota; Viridiplantae; Streptophyta; Magnoliopsida; Poales; Poaceae.